AUUUUAUGUUACAUGACUCGUAGUGCGCGCCAGAUAAGUCUGCGCACAGUCAAAAUCGGAUACUAAUUUUU
Aricia agestis (brown argus) is the source of this 71-nucleotide long non-coding RNA. RefSeq lists it as uncharacterized. The transcript is spliced from 3 exons. NCBI's taxonomy places the organism in Eukaryota, Metazoa, Arthropoda, Insecta, Lepidoptera, Lycaenidae. The record is from RefSeq and is a predicted model, not a curated record.